GAAGGUUUCCCAGAGACUAUGGGUUGAAGAGGAAUUGGAAGUUUGUCGGCUUAGACCUGGUGUCAUUCCAUCAGUGUUAAACUUCCCGGCUCAUCUUGGAAGAGUACGUACCAGAAAGACCACAACCAAGCAGCCUUGAGAUCUUAGGCAGCGUCUCCCUGAGGUCCCUCUCUAUCUCCCCACACAUCCACCAACCACUGGAACACAUCUCCAAAGUUCUGCCGGGCCAGCUCAGCUUCCCCUCAGAAGAAGUGCUGCCACCUGCCAGAUGAAGGAGCCUUUUGAGAGGCAGCUGGCAUCGUGAUUGGACUGUACUUUGGUCUGUUCCAAUCCAGCUUCAGCUCCAGAGACGGCAGGCGGAACGAGUCAACGGAGGCCGGGUGGACGAAGGCAUGCAGCUGAGUACAAUCCAGAAAACAACAGAGGAGGAGUGCAGUGGCCCAGGGCCAGAACAAACAGAGUAGCAUCAUAUGUCUCUUAGAAAACAUCAUAGUUUAGCCUUUGGUAUGAAAAAACGCCAUCAUAUACAUCGUAUAUUGUACAAAUAAGUCAAAGGAAAGAGACAUACAUUGUAGAAUUGUAGUAAUUGUGGGCUGACUGAUUUACUGAUUAUCAGUAUUUUAUUUUUUACUGAUUUACAGUAAUAAAUACAUUUAAAAA
Molecule: long non-coding RNA, 660 nt
Organism: Amphiprion ocellaris (clown anemonefish)
Lineage: Eukaryota; Metazoa; Chordata; Actinopteri; Pomacentridae
Exons: 2
Source: RefSeq, a predicted model, not a curated record